GAUGAACGCUGGCGGCGUGCCUAAUACAUGCAAGUCGAGCGAACGGACGAGAAGCUUGCUUCUUUGAUGUUAGCGGCGGACGGGUGAGUAACACGUGGAUAACCUACCUAUAAGACUGGGAUAACUUCGGGAAACCGGAGCUAAUACCGGAUAAUAUUUUGAACCGCAUGGUUCAAAAGUGAAAGACGGUCUUGCUGUCACUUAUAGAUGGAUCCGCGCUGCAUUAGUUAGUUGGUAAGGUAACGGCAUACCAAGGCAACGAUGCAUAGCCGACCUGAGAGGGUGAUCGGCCACACUGGAACUGAGACACGGUCCAGACUCCUGCGGGAGGCAGCAGUAGGGUAUCUUCCGCAAUAGGCGAAAGCCUGACGGAGCCACGCCGCGUGAGUGAUGAAGGCCUUCGGAUCGUAAAACUCUGUUAUUAGGGAAGAACAGAUGUGUAAGUAACUGUAGACGUCUUGACGGUACCUAAUAAGAAAGCCACGGCUAACUACGUG
Molecule: ribosomal RNA, 497 nt
Filed under: uncultured bacterium
Lineage: Bacteria
Description: partial 16S ribosomal RNA
Rfam family: Bacterial small subunit ribosomal RNA
Source: RNAcentral